This 503-nucleotide ribosomal RNA is filed under the name uncultured bacterium. Its description in RNAcentral is "bacterial SSU rRNA". It matches the Rfam family "Bacterial small subunit ribosomal RNA", at positions 377 to 873 of the family's 1533-position model. The record is from RNAcentral.
GCAAGCGUGCAGCAACCAUCCGUUCAGUGUGAAGAAGGCCUUUUGUUUGUAAAGCAUUUUCAGCGAUGAGGAAGGUGGUGAGCUUAAUACGCUCAUCAAUCAGCGUUACUCGCAGAAGAAGCACCGGCUAACUCCGUGCCAGCAGCCGCGGUAGUACGGAGGAAGCAAGCGCUAAUCGGAAUUACCGGGAGUAAAGCGCACGCAGGCGUUUUGUUUAGUCAGAAGCCAAAUCCCCUGGCUCAACGAGGGAGUAGCUUUUGAUCCGGCCAACAAAGAGUCUCGUAGAGGGGGGUAGAAUUCCAGGUGAAGCGGCGAAAUGCGUAGAGAUAUGGAGGAUCUCCGGUGGCGAAGGCGGCCUCUUGUACGAAGUCUGACGCUCAGGUGCGAAAGCGUGGGGAGCAAACAGGAUUAGAUACCCUGGUAGUCCACGCUGUAAACGAUGUCGAUUUGGAGGUUGUGCCCUUGAGGCGUGGCUUCCGGAGCUAACGCGUAAAUCGACCGCC